Long non-coding RNA from Anguilla anguilla (European eel), 437 nucleotides. RefSeq lists it as uncharacterized. NCBI's taxonomy places the organism in Eukaryota, Metazoa, Chordata, Actinopteri, Anguilliformes, Anguillidae. The transcript is spliced from 4 exons. The record is from RefSeq and is a predicted model, not a curated record.
GGGUCUUCACGGGGGCUCGUCUCUCUCCUCACAUUACUCACUGGCAGACGGAGCGGGCUGCCAGCGCCCCGCAGGUCCACCCUGGCACCCCUGCCCCGCCGCUCACACCUCUCGGCUGGAGGAAAUGAUCCAGGGGAAUCCGGGAGAAAGGCCCGGCCACUUCCGUCCAGCAGGCAGAUCCCUGGACAGCCUCCUCCUACAUGUCCCGCAUUUCAAAUUCCUGGUGAAAAUGACAUCAGUGGUCUCAUCUGAACAGCAUACAAUAUGGACCCUGCUUUCAGAAGCAAGACUUCACGAGCCGCAGAGACGGGCCGUGGGCGAUGGCUGGGUGAUUCUGAGCACUCCACAGACCCAUAUGGAAGAAUGUAUCCCUGAGGAAUGCUAAAUUUGGUUAUGCUACAAUCAUCGACGAAGCACAACUGGAGAUAGUAUACGGC